RNAcentral lists this ribosomal RNA (1222 nucleotides) under uncultured fungus. RNAcentral describes it as "eukaryotic LSU rRNA". The stretch from base 593 to 1222 matches the Rfam family "Eukaryotic large subunit ribosomal RNA", at positions 1 to 649 of the family's 3401-position model. Lineage: Eukaryota; Fungi. The record is from RNAcentral.
GUCGUAACAAGGUUUCCGUAGGUGAACCUGCGGAAGGAUCAUUAAUGAUAGCUGAGUUCAGUUUGCGCCGNGUAGCUUUGCCUUGCUGGUAGAGGAUCUUCCUCCCGAAUAAGCCUGGUGACCUCCGGNUAAACUNUCUCACAUUCAAACCCUUGACUACAUUACCAUUGUUGCUAUUGGCGGGCCGCCCUUCGGGGCGGGGGGCUCCGGCUCACCGCGCCCGCCAGAGGACCAAAAUCCUUGUGGCUUGGGGAUGCCUGAGUACAAUAUAAAAGUUAAAACUUGUCAACAACGGAUCUCUUGGUUUCUGGAAUCGAUGAAGAACGCAGCGAAAAUGCGAUAGGUAUUGUGAAAUUGCAGAAUUCAGGUGAAUCAUCGAAUCUUUGAACCCACAUUGCGCCUUCCUGGUAUUCCGGGAAGGAUGGCCUGUUCNAAGCGUCAAUUAUGACCACUCACGGCUCCGGGUGGUUUUGGGGGCUCGCUGUACCGGNGGCCCUUAAAAGCAGUGGGGNGCCCNCCGGGUUCUACCGCGUAGUAAUUUUUCUCGCGAUUGGGCUUGCGGUUGCUUGCAACACCCCCAACUUUUUAAGGUUGACCUCGGAUCAGGUAGGGAUACCCGCUGAACUUAAGCAUAUCAAUAAGCGGAGGAAAAGAAACCAACAGGGAUUCCCUCAGUAACGGCGAGUGAAGCGGUAACAGCUCAAAUUUGAAAUCUGGCAGCAAUGCCCGAGUUGUAAUUUGUAGAAGAUGCUUCGAGUGUGGCCCCGGUCUAAGUUCCUGGAACAGGACGUCAUAGAGGGUGAGAAUCCCGUACGUGACUGGGUGCUUUCGCUCAUGUGAAGCUCUUUCGACGAGUCGAGUUGUUUGGGAAUGCAGCUCAAAAUGGGUGGUAAAUUUCAUCUAAAGCUAAAUAUUGGCCAGAGACCGAUAGCGCACAAGUAGAGUGAUCGAAAGAUGAAAAGCACUUUGGAAAGAGAGUUAAACAGUACGUGAAAUUGUUGAAAGGGAAGCGCUUGCACCCAGACUUGGGCGCGGUCGAUCAUCCGAGGUUUUCCCCGGUGCACUCGACCGCGUACAGGCCAGCAUCGGUUUCGGUGGUUGGAUAAAGGCCUUGGGAAUGUGGCUCCUCUCGGGGAGUGUUAUAGCCCUCGGUGCAAUGCACCCUGCCGGGACCGAGGACCGCGCUUCGGCUAGGAUGCUGGCGUAAUGGUUGUAAGCGACC